AGAAUCAACGCUGGCGGCGUGCCUAACACAUGCAAGUCGAACGAGAAAGGGUAGCAAUACCUGAGUAAAGUGGCGCACGGGUGAGUAACACGUGACUAACCUACCCUGGAGUGGGGGAUAACUGAGGGAAACCUUAGCUAAUACCGCAUAAUACCUACGGGUCAAAGGAGCAAUUCGCUUUGGGAGGGGGUCGCGGCCGAUUAGUUAGUUGGCGGGGUAAUGGCCCACCAAGACGAUGAUCGGUAUCC
Molecule: ribosomal RNA, 248 nt
Filed under: uncultured bacterium
Lineage: Bacteria
Description: partial small subunit ribosomal RNA
Rfam family: Bacterial small subunit ribosomal RNA
Source: RNAcentral